AUUGAACGCUGGCGGCAUGCUUUACACAUGCAAGUCGAACGGCAGCGCGGGCUUCGGCCUGGCGGCGAGUGGCGAACGGGUGAGUAAUGCAUCGGAACGUGCCCAGUAGUGGGGGAUAGCCCGGCGAAAGCCGGAUUAAUACCGCAUACGACCUGAGGGUGAAAGUGGGGGACCGAAAGGCCUCGCGCUAUUGGAGCGGCCGAUGUCGGAUUAGCUAGUUGGUGGGGUAAAGGCUUACCAAGGCGACGAUCCGUAGCUGGUCUGAGAGGACGACCAGCCAAAAUGGGACUGGGGCACGGGCCAGACUCCUAAGGGAGGCAGCAGGUGGGAAUUUUUGACAAUGGGGGGAAACCUGAUCCAGGCAUGGCGCGGGCGGGAAGAAGGCCUUCGGGUUGGAAACCGGUUUUGUUCGGGAAGAAAAUCUCUUGGCUAAAUCCCCGGGGGGAUGACGGUACCGGAAGAAUAAGCACCGGCUAACUACGUG
Molecule: ribosomal RNA, 484 nt
Filed under: uncultured bacterium
Lineage: Bacteria
Description: partial 16S ribosomal RNA
Rfam family: Bacterial small subunit ribosomal RNA
Source: RNAcentral